This 18-nucleotide small RNA is filed under the name Arabidopsis thaliana (thale cress). RNAcentral's name for it is "ATSL056260". The record is from RNAcentral. Lineage: Eukaryota; Viridiplantae; Streptophyta; Magnoliopsida; Brassicales; Brassicaceae.
GUUUUUUUUGGUUUUUGU